This 477-nucleotide ribosomal RNA is filed under the name uncultured bacterium. Its description in RNAcentral is "partial 16S ribosomal RNA". It matches the Rfam family "Bacterial small subunit ribosomal RNA", at positions 29 to 507 of the family's 1533-position model. The record is from RNAcentral.
AGUGAACGCUGGCGGCAUGCCUUACACAUGCAAGUCGAACGGCAACACGUUAAGCUGUUGCUCUGCGGAGGGGCGAGUAACGUACGGGAACGUGAUCAGUCGGGGUCGAUAUUUGCGUGAAAGAGCACCUAGGGACGCAUACGCCCAUAGCGCAAACGCGCGGCGUGUGAAAGCAUCGCGCCUUCGGACCUGGCGAUAUCGGAUUAGCUAGUUGGCGAGGUAAAGGCUCACCAAGGCGACGAUCAGUAGCUGGUCUGAGAGGAGGAGCAGCCACACUGGAACUGAGACACGGCCCAGACUCCUACGGGAGGCAGCAGUGGGGAAUAUUGGACAAUGGGCGCAAGCCUGAUCCAGCCAUACCGCGUGGGGGAAGAAGGCCUUCGGGUUGUAAAGCGCUUUUGUCAGGGAAGAAAAGGUUCUGGUUAAUACCUGGCUGUCCUGACGGUACCUGAAGAAUAAGCACCGGCUAACUUCGUG